Molecule: ribosomal RNA, 459 nt
Filed under: uncultured bacterium
Lineage: Bacteria
Description: partial 16S ribosomal RNA
Rfam family: Bacterial small subunit ribosomal RNA
Source: RNAcentral
CCUACGGGAGGCAGCAGUGAGGAAUAUUGGUCAAUGGUCGGGAGACUGAACCAGCCAAGCCGCGUGAGGGAGGAAGGUACAGAGUAUCGUAAACCUCUUUUGUCAGGGAACAAAGACUGGGACGCGUCCCCGGAUGAGUGUACCUGAAGAAAAAGCAUCGGCUAACUCCGUGCCAGCAGCGGCGGUAAUACGGAGGAUGCGAGCGUUAUCCGGAUUUAUUGGGUUAAAAGGGUGCGCAGGCGGUCUGUUAUGUCAGCGGGCAAAGCCCGGGGCUCAACCCCGGACCGCCGUUGAAACUGGCAGUCUCGAGUUGGAGAGAAGAAUGCGGAAUGCGCGGUGUAGCGGUGAAAUGCAUAGAUAUCGCGCAGAACUCCGAUUGCGAAGGCAGCAUGCCGGCUCCACACUGACGCUGAGGCACGAAAGCGUGGGUAUCGAACAGGAUUAGAUACCCUUGUAGUC